CCUACGGGAGGCUGCAGUGGGGAAUAUUGGACAAUGGGGGCAACCCUGAUCCAGCCAUGCCGCGUGUGUGAAGAAGGCCCUCGGGUUGUAAAGCACUUUCAGUGAGGAAGAACGCCUGGUGGUUAAUACCCAUCAGGAAAGACAUUACUCACAGAAGAAGCACCGGCUAACUCCGUGCCAGCAGCCGCGGUAAUACGGAGGGUGCGAGCGUUAAUCGGAAUUACUGGGCGUAAAGCGCGCGUAGGUGGCUUGAUAAGCCGGUUGUGAAAGCCCCGGGCUCAACCUGGGAACGGCAUUCCGGUGGUCACGCGACAGGGGAAGAGAGGGGGGGUAAUAACGCGGUGUAGGGGUGCAUUGCGUACAGACAGUGAGGCGGACCAGUGGAGGCGGGGGCCAACUAGACCGACAUUGACCCUGGGGUGCCAACCCGUGGCUAGCACUCCGGACUAGAACGCCAAGGGGGA
RNAcentral lists this ribosomal RNA (464 nucleotides) under Vreelandella stevensii. RNAcentral describes it as "partial 16S ribosomal RNA". It matches the Rfam family "Bacterial small subunit ribosomal RNA", at positions 338 to 792 of the family's 1533-position model. Lineage: Bacteria; Pseudomonadati; Pseudomonadota; Gammaproteobacteria; Oceanospirillales; Halomonadaceae. The record is from RNAcentral.